Transfer RNA from Camelus ferus (Wild Bactrian camel), 72 nucleotides. It matches the Rfam family "tRNA". Rfam says of the family: Transfer RNA (tRNA) molecules are approximately 80 nucleotides in length. Their secondary structure includes four short double-helical elements and three loops (D, anti-codon, and T loops). Further hydrogen bonds mediate the characteristic L-shaped molecular structure. tRNAs have two regions of fundamental functional importance: the anti-codon, which is responsible for specific mRNA codon recognition, and the 3' end, to which the tRNAs corresponding amino acid is attached (by aminoacyl-tRNA synthetases). tRNAs cope with the degeneracy of the genetic code in two manners: having more than one tRNA (with a specific anti-codon) for a particular amino acid; and 'wobble' base-pairing, i.e. permitting non-standard base-pairing at the 3rd anti-codon position. Lineage: Eukaryota; Metazoa; Chordata; Mammalia; Artiodactyla; Camelidae. The record is from Rfam.
GGGGGUAUAGCUCAGUGGUAGAGCACACAUUUAGCAUGCACGAGAUCCUGGGUUCAAUCCCCAGUACCUCCA